GAUGAACGCUAGCGGCAGGCUUAAUACAUGCAAGUCGUGGGGCAGCAUGAGUAGCAAUACUUGAUGGCGACCGGCAAACGGGUGCGGAACACGUACACAACCUUCCGAUAAGUGGGGAAUAGCCCAGAGAAAUUUGGAUUAAUACCCCGUAACAUAUAGAGUAGGCAUCUUCUUUAUAUUAUAGCUUCGGCGCUUAUUGAUGGGUGUGCGUCUGAUUAGGUAGUUGGCGGGGUAACGGCCCACCAAGCCUACGAUCAGUAGCUGAUGUGAGGGCAUGAUAAGCGACACGGGCACUGAGAAACGGGCCCGACUGCUACGGGAGGCAGCAGUAAGGAAUAUUGGACACUGGGCGAAAGCCUGAUCCAGCCAUGCCGCGUGAAGGAUUAAGGUCCUCUGGAUUGUAAACUUAUUUUAUUUGGGACGAAAGAAGGGAAUUCUUUCCCCCUUGACGGUACCAAGGGAAUAAGCACCGGCUAACUCCGUGCCAGCAGCCGCCGUAA
Molecule: ribosomal RNA, 500 nt
Filed under: uncultured bacterium
Lineage: Bacteria
Description: partial 16S ribosomal RNA
Rfam family: Bacterial small subunit ribosomal RNA
Source: RNAcentral